CUGCGCGGAAGAUGUAACGGGGCUCAAACUAUGCACCGAAGCUGCGGCAGCAAAAAUUAUAUUUUUGCUGGGUAGGGGAGCGUUCUGUAAGCCAACGAAGAUAUAUUGUAAAAUAUAUUGGAGGUAUCAGAAGUGCGAAUGCUGACAUGAGUAACGAUAAAGCAGGUGAAAAACCUGCUCGCCGAAAAACCAAGGUUUCCUGUCCAACGUUAAUCGGGGCAGGGUAAGCCGACCCCUAAGGCGAGGCUGAAAAGCGUAGUCGAUGGACAACAGGUUAAUAUUCCUGUGCUUAAUAUUACUGCGAAGUGGGGACGAAGAAGGUUAAGUUAUCCAGGUGACGGUUAUCCUGGUUUAAAUGUGUAGGUAUGAUAAUUAGGCAAAUCCGAUUAUCUUUAAUCUGAGGCAUGAUGACGAAUCAUUAAGGUGAUGAAGUAACUGACACCACGCUUCCAAGAAAAGCCUCUAAGCAUCAGGUAAAAUUAAAUCGUACCCCAAACCGACACAGGUGGUUAGGUAGAGAAUACUAAGGCGCUUGAGAGAACCCAGGUGAAGGAACUAGGCAAAAUAGUGCCGUAACUUCGGGAGAAGGCACGCUAAUGUUAAGUGAAAGGAUUUACUCCUAUAGCUGAAGUUAGUCGAAGAUACCAGCUGGCUGCAACUGUUUAUUAAAAACACAGCACUGUGCAAACACGAAAGUGGAAGUAUACGGUGUGACGCCUGCCCGGUGCCGGAAGGUUAAUUGAUGGGGUUAGCGGCAACGCGAAGCUCUUGAUCGAAGCCCCGGUAAACGGCGGCCGUAACAAUAACGGUCCUAAGGUAGCGAAAUUNUAAGUUCCGACCUGCACGAAUGGCGUAACGAUGGCGGCGCUGUCUCCACCCGAGACUCAGUGAAAUUGAACUCGCUGUGAAGAUGCAGUGUACCCGCGGCAAGACGGAAAGACCCCGUGAACCUUUACUAUAGCUUGACACUGAACAUUGAGCCUUGAUGUGUAGGAUAGGUGGGAGGCUUUGAAGCGUGGACGCCAGUCUGCGUGGAGCCGACCUUGAAAUACCACCCUUUAAUGGCUGGUGUUCUAACGUAGACCCGUAAUCCGGGUUGCGGACAGUGUCUGGUGGGUAGUUUGACUGGGG
RNAcentral lists this ribosomal RNA (1131 nucleotides) under Inostemma sp. AD-2014. Its description in RNAcentral is "bacterial LSU rRNA". It matches the Rfam family "Bacterial large subunit ribosomal RNA", at positions 1159 to 2279 of the family's 2925-position model. The record is from RNAcentral. Lineage: Eukaryota; Metazoa; Arthropoda; Insecta; Hymenoptera; Platygastridae.